Long non-coding RNA from Varanus komodoensis (Komodo dragon), 320 nucleotides. RefSeq lists it as uncharacterized. The transcript is spliced from 3 exons. NCBI's taxonomy places the organism in Eukaryota, Metazoa, Chordata, Lepidosauria, Squamata, Varanidae. The record is from RefSeq and is a predicted model, not a curated record.
UCUUUAUGGGUGGGGUUGUGUCCUAACCUAGGUUCCCUCUCUUCGCACAUUCAAAGCCGCAGACCUUUCUUGCAAUAAAUUCUUUAUCAACCAAAGCAUUUUCCAAAAGCUCAAUCACCCAGAAUGAAUCUCUGAACACGCAUAGAGCAGUGUGUUGAACCCAUCCUUUUGGAAGAGGCCCUUUGGAAACAAGGGCAUCUCCUUCCUGCACACGGAUCCUCUAAUUAGGUCCCCCUCCACCCCCAAAACUGCAAAACGAUUUUGGGCUUUUGCACAUGCAAUAUAUUUUACGUAUGUGUGAAAAAGACACCUUAAGAACA